RNAcentral lists this ribosomal RNA (1161 nucleotides) under Paenarthrobacter aurescens. RNAcentral describes it as "bacterial SSU rRNA". It matches the Rfam family "Bacterial small subunit ribosomal RNA", at positions 173 to 1345 of the family's 1533-position model. Lineage: Bacteria; Bacillati; Actinomycetota; Actinomycetes; Micrococcales; Micrococcaceae. The record is from RNAcentral.
UACGACCAUCUGGCGCAUGUCAUGGUGGUGGAAAGCUUUUGUGGNUNUGGAUGGACUCGCGGCCUAUCAGCUUGUUGGUGGGGUAAUGGCCUACCAAGGCGACGACGGGUAGCCGGCCUGAGAGGGUGACCGGCCACACUGGGACUGAGACACGGCCCAGACUCCUACGGGAGGCAGCAGUGGGGAAUAUUGCACAAUGGGCGCAAGCCUGAUGCAGCGACGCCGCGUGAGGGAUGACGGCCUUCGGGUUGUAAACCUCUUUCAGUAGGGAAGAAGCCGUGAGGUGACGGUACCUGCAGAAGAAGCGCCGGCUAACUACGUGCCAGCAGCCGCGGUAAUACGUAGGGCGCAAGCGUUAUCCGGAAUUAUUGGGCGUAAAGAGCUCGUAGGCGGUUUGUCGCGUCUGCUGUGAAAGACCGGGGCUCAACUCCGGUUCUGCAGUGGGUACGGGCAGACUAGAGUGCAGUAGGGGAGACUGGAAUUCCUGGUGUAGCGGUGAAAUGCGCAGAUAUCAGGAGGAACACCGAUGGCGAAGGCAGGUCUCUGGGCUGUAACUGACGCUGAGGAGCGAAAGCAUGGGGAGCGAACAGGAUUAGAUACCCUGGUAGUCCAUGCCGUAAACGUUGGGCACUAGGUGUGGGGGACAUUCCACGUUUUCCGCGCCGUAGCUAACGCAUUAAGUGCCCCGCCUGGGGAGUACGGCCGCAAGGCUAAAACUCAAAGGAAUUGACGGGGGCCCGCACAAGCGGCGGAGCAUGCGGAUUAAUUCGAUGCAACGCGAAGAACCUUACCAAGGCUUGACAUGAACCGGAAAGACCUGGAAACAGGUGCCCCGCUUGCGGUCGGUUUACAGGUGGUGCAUGGUUGUCGUCAGCUCGUGUCGUGAGAUGUUGGGUUAAGUCCCGCAACGAGCGCAACCCUCGUUCUAUGUUGCCAGCGCGUGAUGGCGGGGACUCAUAGGAGACUGCCGGGGUCAACUCGGAGGAAGGUGGGGACGACGUCAAAUCAUCAUGCCCCUUAUGUCUUGGGCUUCACGCAUGCUACAAUGGCCGGUACAAAGGGUUGCGAUACUGUGAGGUGGAGCUAAUCCCAAAAAGCCGGUCUCAGUUCGGAUUGGGGUCUGCAACUCGACCCCAUGAAGUCGGAGUCGCUAGUAAUCGC